AAGCCUGAUGCAGAGACGCCGCGUGAGGGAUGACGGCCUUCGGGUUGUAAACCUCUUUCAGUAGGGAAGAAGCGAAAGUGACGGUACCUGCAGAAGAAGCGCCGGCUAACUACGUGCCAGCAGCCGCGGUAAUACGUAGGGCGCAAGCGUUAUCCGGAAUUAUUGGGCGUAAAGAGCUCGUAGGCGGUUUGUCGCGUCUGCCGUGAAAGUCCGGGGCUCAACUCCGGAUCUGCGGUGGGUACGGGCAGACUAGAGUGAUGUAGGGGAGACUGGAAUUCCUGGUGUAGCGGUGAAAUGCGCAGAUAUCAGGAGGAACACCGAUGGCGAAGGCAGGUCUCUGGGCAUUAACUGACGCUGAGGAGCGAAAGCAUGGGGAGCGAACAGGAUUAGAUACCCUGGUAGUCCAUGCCGUAAACGUUGGGCACUAGGUGUGGGGGACAUUCCACGUUU
This 450-nucleotide ribosomal RNA is filed under the name bacterium. RNAcentral's name for it is "bacterial SSU rRNA". It matches the Rfam family "Bacterial small subunit ribosomal RNA", at positions 379 to 839 of the family's 1533-position model. The record is from RNAcentral.